UACGGGGGGGGCAAGCGUUGUUCGGAAUUACUGGGCGUAAAGCGCGCGUAGGCGGCUUUGUAAGUCAGGAGUGAAAUCCCGGGGCUCAACCUCGGAACUGCCUUUGAUACUGCAAAUCUCGAGUCCGGAAGAGGUGAGUGGAAUUCCUAGUGUAGAGGUGAAAUUCGUAGAUAUUAGGAAGAACACCAGUGGCGAAGGCGGCUCACUGGUCCGGUACUGACGCUGAGGUGCGAAAGCCAGGGGAGCAAACGGG
RNAcentral lists this ribosomal RNA (253 nucleotides) under uncultured bacterium. Its description in RNAcentral is "partial 16S ribosomal RNA". It matches the Rfam family "Bacterial small subunit ribosomal RNA", at positions 524 to 776 of the family's 1533-position model. The record is from RNAcentral.